CCACAAUGGCAUUUCUGGCUUCCUGCCAAAAGGCGUUUUCCCCAAUUCCACAGUCUCUCCAACAGCCUUCUCAUCAACAAAUCAGGAACAUCUGUUUCCAGUCUGAACCAGACGCCGACAAGCAAAAACAACAGUCUCUCCGCUCCGUCUCCACCAGCAGCACACGAACCUUCAAGCACACACAUUCCUCUCACGCCAAGCAGCCGACUCUCUCCCAAAAA
Long non-coding RNA from Austrofundulus limnaeus, 221 nucleotides. RefSeq lists it as uncharacterized. Lineage: Eukaryota; Metazoa; Chordata; Actinopteri; Cyprinodontiformes; Rivulidae. The transcript is spliced from 2 exons. The record is from RefSeq and is a predicted model, not a curated record.